GUAGGACCUGUGGGGGUAAGGUAGUGCCUGUGGGGUUAGGGCCAGUAAGGUAGGGCAUGUGAGGGUGAGGUAGGGCCUGUGGGGUUAGGCCCAGUGAGGUAGGGCCUGUGGGGGUGAGGUAGGGCCUGUGGGGUUAGGCCCAGUGAGGUAGGGCCUGUGGGGUUAGGGCCAGUGAGGUAGGGCAUGUGAGGGUGAGGUAGGGCCUGUGGGGUUAGGCCCAGUGAGGUAGGUACUGUGGGGUUAGGCCCAGUGAGGUAGGGCUUGUGGGGGUGAGGUAGGGCCUGUGGGGUUAGGCCCAGUGAGGUAGGUACUUUGGGGUUAGGCCCAGUAAGGUAUGGCCUGUGGGGGUGAGGUAGGGCCAGUGGGGUAAGUGCCAGAUGGGUAAGGGCCAGUAGGGUUAUGGGCCAGUGGAGUUAGGACCAGUGGGAUUAUGGGCCAGUGGGGUUAUGGGCCAGUGGUGUUAUGACAAGUGGGAUUAUGGGCCAGUGGUGUUAUGACAAGUGGGAUUAUGGGCCAGUGGG
This 521-nucleotide long non-coding RNA is filed under the name Salmo salar (Atlantic salmon). Its description in RNAcentral is "lncRNA (ENSSSAG00000117506.1)". The record is from RNAcentral. Lineage: Eukaryota; Metazoa; Chordata; Actinopteri; Salmoniformes; Salmonidae.